Non-coding RNA from Triticum aestivum (bread wheat), 93 nucleotides. NCBI's taxonomy places the organism in Eukaryota, Viridiplantae, Streptophyta, Magnoliopsida, Poales, Poaceae. The record is from Rfam.
CAUGUACUCCCUCCGUUCCAAAAUAGAUGACCCAACUUUGUACUAAUUUUGUACAAAGUUGGGUCAUCUAUUUUGGAACGGAGGGAGUAUAUC